UAAUACGGGGGGGGCAAGCGUUGUUCGGAAUUACUGGGCGUAAAGAGCGUGUAGGCGGUCCUGCAAGUCAGGCGUGAAAUCCCUAGGCUCAACCGAGGAACUGCGUUUGAUACUGCAGGACUAGAGCAUGGUAGGGGAGAGUGGAAUUCCCAGUGUAGCGGUGAAAUGCGUAGAUAUUGGGAAGAACACCGGUGGCGAAGGCGGCUCUCUGGGCCAUUGCUGACGCUGAGACGCGAAAGCCAGGGGAGCAAACGGGAUUAGAUACCCCGGUAGUCCUGGCCGUAAACGAUGGGCACUAGGUGUAGGGAGUGUCGACCCUCCAGUGCCGUAGUUAACGCGUUAAGUGCCCCGCCUGGGGAGUACGAUCGCAAGAUUG
RNAcentral lists this ribosomal RNA (376 nucleotides) under uncultured bacterium. RNAcentral describes it as "bacterial SSU rRNA". It matches the Rfam family "Bacterial small subunit ribosomal RNA", at positions 521 to 896 of the family's 1533-position model. The record is from RNAcentral.